GGAUUAGAUACCCUGGUAGUCCACGCCGUAAACGAUGUCAACUAGUCGUUGGGGGGAUUAAAACCCUUUGGUGACGCAGUUAACGCAUUAAGUUGACCGCCUGGGGAGUACGGCCGCAAGGUUAAAACUCAAAUGAAUUGACGGGGGCCCGCACAAGCGGUGGAGCAUGUGGUUUAAUUCGAUGCAACGCGAAGAACCUUACCUGCCCUUGACAUCCUCGGAACAGUCCAGAGACGGAUUGGUGCCUUCGGGAGCCGAGUGACAGGUGCUGCAUGGCUGUCGUCAGCUCGUGCCG
RNAcentral lists this ribosomal RNA (295 nucleotides) under uncultured bacterium. RNAcentral's name for it is "partial 16S ribosomal RNA". It matches the Rfam family "Bacterial small subunit ribosomal RNA", at positions 775 to 1067 of the family's 1533-position model. The record is from RNAcentral.